This 253-nucleotide ribosomal RNA is filed under the name uncultured bacterium. Its description in RNAcentral is "partial 16S ribosomal RNA". It matches the Rfam family "Bacterial small subunit ribosomal RNA", at positions 524 to 776 of the family's 1533-position model. The record is from RNAcentral.
UACGUAGGGGGCAAGCGUUGUCCGGAUUUAUUGGGCGUAAAGAGCGUGUAGGCGGCCUGAAAGGUCAGCUGUGAAAACUCGAGGCUCAACCUCGAGACGUCGGUUGAAACCAUCUGGCUAGAGUCCGGAAGAGGAGAGUGGAAUUCCCGGUGUAGCGGUGGAAUGCGCAGAUAUCAGGAGGAACACCAAUAGCGAAGGCAGCUCGCUGGGACGUUACUGACACUGAGGCGCGAAAGCGUGGGGAGCGAACAGG